AUUGAACGCUGGCGGAGUGCUUUACACAUGCAAGUCGAGCGGCAGCGCGGCCUUCGGGCUGGCGGCGAGCGGCGAACGGGUGAGUAAUGCAUCGGAACAUGCCCAGUCGUGGGGGAUAACACUUCGAAAGAAGUGCUAAUACCGCAUACGUCCUGAGGGGGAAAGCGGGGGAUCGCAAGACCUCGCGCGAUUGGAGUGGCCGAUGUCAGAUUAGCUAGUUGGUGGGGUAAAGGCCUACCAAGGCGACGAUCUGUAGCUGGUCUGAGAGGAUGAUCAGCCACACUGGGACUGAGACACGGCCCAGACUCCUACGGGAGGCAGCAGUGAGGAAUUUUGGACAAUGGGGGCAACCCUGAUCCAGCCAUUCCGCGUGAGUGAAGAAGGCCUUCGGGUUGUAAAGCUCUUUCGGCAGGAACGAAACGGUGGGCUCUAACAUAGUCCGCUAAUGACGGUACCUGAAGAAGAAGCACCGGCUAACUACGUG
RNAcentral lists this ribosomal RNA (484 nucleotides) under uncultured bacterium. RNAcentral describes it as "partial 16S ribosomal RNA". It matches the Rfam family "Bacterial small subunit ribosomal RNA", at positions 30 to 507 of the family's 1533-position model. The record is from RNAcentral.